GGCUGUUCCAAUUACAGUGGUGUUUAUAACUAAUUGAUCACAACCAGUUAGAGAUUUCUCUGUUCCUUCUCCACUCCCACUACUUCACUUGGCUCUUCUUAA
Molecule: Y RNA, 102 nt
Filed under: Theropithecus gelada (gelada)
Lineage: Eukaryota; Metazoa; Chordata; Mammalia; Primates; Cercopithecidae
Description: Y RNA (ENSTGEG00000011337.1)
Rfam family: Y RNA
About the family: Y RNAs are components of the Ro ribonucleoprotein particle (Ro RNP), in association with Ro60 and La proteins. The Y RNAs and Ro60 and La proteins are well conserved, but the function of the Ro RNP is not known. In humans the RNA component can be one of four small RNAs -- hY1, hY3, hY4 and hY5.
Source: Rfam by way of RNAcentral